Molecule: long non-coding RNA, 1321 nt
Filed under: Toxoplasma gondii VEG
Lineage: Eukaryota; Apicomplexa; Conoidasida; Eucoccidiorida; Sarcocystidae
Source: RNAcentral
AGCGAAUACAUGGAUGGCGCCACGUCGUAUCAACUACUUGGACUGCUCAAACAGGGGGCAUGACGUGCCCCACACCCGAGACAGCAACGUAACAGCAGACGCGGAAAAGAAUGACGAGAAGGCACGUCACAACCCAAAAUGCCUCUGCAGUGACCCGCUGACGAACCAGUUUCAGGAAGUUCAGCGACUGAACGAGGGAAAGACGCGGUGCGCGGCAGGGGCCGGUGGGAACGGGGAGCGGAAGCAGGUGACUUUGCCCACCUUCGCCAGUUAUUUCGCGGGUCUCACGAAUUCGUGUUUCCCUUGUCGAUAGAGUCAAACAUGCGCUUCGGACAAGCUUUAUUGUUUUGGAGGGUCCAGCGUGAAACUAGAAAAAGCAUCGUUCAAGAGGCAGUGCAGGAUUACAGCCCACUCCGCCACGGAAUUACAUGCUGCGAUACCCGUCAACGAAGAGGACCCUGAGCAGAAUGAUAUUUGUAAUUUGGUAAGCGUCAUUCCACCUGCAUCGAUUCGUGGCUCAAAAUGAGGCGAGCAUUGUUUUUGCGUAGUGCCUUAUGCACAAGAAAGAUUCUCUGCACCCGGGACCUCCUGUACUUUUCACUCUCGAAUGUGGUAAGGUAGAAUGACGUUGCCACAAAGACAACUUGUUGCACCUUCAACAAACUCAGGGCACGAAUAUCAUUUGGCAUGGUAAGUCAAUGCCUAGAUGGAAUGCGGCUAGUUCCUCCUAAUGAUCGUGAGAUCAAUAGUUUAUCAGAGUGUGUGUCUAGGAGGGAGUGCAGAAAAGACUGUCCCAUCUGCACCAAACCAGUCGAGGAGGAUGACAUCAGAAAGAUAUUGACCAAGAGAAAACUUCUCAAAAGAGGCAUGCAAAUGCAGCAGAAGCAGCUCGCACGGGCUGUAGCGGAAGCUGUUGUCUGACAACUCUGCUCUGAAUGCAACGGGCGAAGCCUGUGUACUGUGUUUUCUGCUUUCGGACUCGUGUUUGUAAAUAUAAAAGAGAUGUGUGAGAUGCCGGUCGCUGUGGGCACCCUGCACGUAUUAUUAACUGGGCUAUGUUCGCCCUAAGAAUCUGCUUUAGACUGGAAUGAAUUGCUUAAAGGCAGUCUUGAUGACAAUCUACAGGUUGCUCCCCGGCCGAUGAAAGGAAGCAGAAGGAAUCUCAUAGCCCGGGAUACCUUCCACCACAGAGGAGGACUCUGGUUAUGGGAGAAGUGCCAGAGCUGAACAGCGGGGUACCGGCGACAACACGAGUGCCCGACAGGGUAUGCUUGACGACGUCACAUCCCUUACAACAAUGGGUUAGUGCUUCCGUUUGCAG